GCUGGGUGUGGUGGUGGGCGCCUGUAAUCCCAGCUACUUGGGAGGCUGAGGCAGGAGAAUCGCUUGAAUCCAGGAGGUGGAGGCUGCAGUGAGCUGAGAUCACGCCACUGCACUCCAACCUGGGUGACAGAGCGAGACUCUGUCUCCA
RNAcentral lists this non-coding RNA (148 nucleotides) under Gorilla gorilla gorilla (western lowland gorilla). Lineage: Eukaryota; Metazoa; Chordata; Mammalia; Primates; Hominidae. The record is from Rfam by way of RNAcentral.